Molecule: ribosomal RNA, 484 nt
Filed under: uncultured bacterium
Lineage: Bacteria
Description: partial 16S ribosomal RNA
Rfam family: Bacterial small subunit ribosomal RNA
Source: RNAcentral
AUUGAACGCUGGCGGCAUGCCUAACACAUGCAAGUCGAGCGGAUGAACGGAGCUUUCUCCUGGAUUCAGCUGCGGACGGGUGAGUAAUGCCUAGGAAUCUGCCUUGUAUUGGGGGCUAACGUCCGGUCACGGGCGCUAAUACCGCAUACGUCCUGAGUGUGAACGUGGUGGUUCUUCGGACCUCACGCUAUUAGCUGAGCCUAGGUCGGAUUAGCUAGUUGGUUGGGUAAAGGCCUACCAAGGCGACGAUCCGUAACUGAUCUGAGAGGAUGAUCAGUCACACUGGAACUGAGACACGGUCCAGACUCCUACGGGAGGCAGCAGUGGGGAAUAUUGGGCAAUGGGCGAAAGCCUGAUCCAGCCAUGCCGCGUGUGUGAAGAAGGUCUUCGGAUUGUAAAGCACUUUAAGUUGGGAGGAACGGCAGUAAGUUAAUACCUUGCUGUUUUGACGUUACCAACAGAAUAAGCACCGGCUAACUUCGUG